GACGAACGCUGGCGGCGUGCUUAACACAUGCAAGUCGAACGGUGAAGGGACCAGCUUGCUGGUUCUGGAUGAGUGGCGAACGGGUGAGUAACGCGUGAGUAACCUGCCCCCUUCUUCUGGAUAACCGCAUGAAAGGGUGGCUAAUACGGGAUAUUCUGGGUCUGUCGCAUGGCGGGCCCGGGAAAGAUAUUGCUUCGGUGGGGGAUGGGCUCGCGGCCUAUCAGCUUGUUGGUGGGGUGAUGGCCUACCAAGGCGGGGACGGGUAGCCGGCCUGAGAGGGUGGACGGUCACACUGGGACUGAGACACGGCCCAGACUCCUACGGGAGGCAGCAGUGGGGAAUAUUGCACAAUGGGCGCAAGCCUGAUGCAGCGACGCCGCGUGAGGGAUGGAGGCCUUCGGGUUGUAAACCUCUUUCGCCAGUGAAGCAGGCCUGCUCCUUGUGGGUGGGUUGACGGUAGCUGGAGAAGAAGCGCCGGCUAACUACGUG
Molecule: ribosomal RNA, 489 nt
Filed under: uncultured bacterium
Lineage: Bacteria
Description: partial 16S ribosomal RNA
Rfam family: Bacterial small subunit ribosomal RNA
Source: RNAcentral